Molecule: RNA transcript, 3620 nt
Organism: Physeter macrocephalus (sperm whale)
Lineage: Eukaryota; Metazoa; Chordata; Mammalia; Artiodactyla; Physeteridae
Gene: ADCY4
Gene name: adenylate cyclase 4
Exons: 26
Source: RefSeq, a predicted model, not a curated record
CUGGGUUUGAGGAAGGAGGAGCAAAGGAUCGAGCAGUCCCUUCACUGCCAACUGGGAGAAGGCAGGGAGGCCACAGGGAGUGCCUGGGAGGAGGUGGGAUAGCGAGGUUGGGAGGUCCGGGCGCAAGCGGCUUGGACCUGGUGAGGACGGCACAGCUGGGGCUGGCUGGGGCCUCAGACAGUAACCCACCCUGGCCCCCCCUCAGCCUCAGGGGUCACCCCAAGGCGGUGUAGCUGUGGGCAGGGGAGACCAUGGCCCGCCUCUUCAGUCCCCGGCCGCCUCCCAGCGAAGACCUCUUCUACGAGACCUACUACAGCCUGAGCCAGCAGUACCCACUGCUGCUACUGCUGCUGGUGAUAGUGCUCUUCGGGCUCUUGGCGCUGCUCGCUGUUGCCUGGGCCAGCGGCAGGGAGCUGGCCUCAGACCCGGGCUUCCUGACCUCUAUGCUGUGCGGGCUGGGCGGCUUCUCGCUGCUGCUGGGCCUGGCUUCCCGCGAGCAGCGACUGCAGCGCUGGACGCGUCCCCUGUCGGGCCUCGUGUGGGCAGCGCUGCUCGCGCUAGGCCACGGCUUCCUCUUCACCGGGGGCGUGGUGAGCGCCUGGGACCAGGUGUCCUUUUUCCUUUUUGUCAUCUUCACCGUGUAUGCCAUGUUGCCCUUGGGCAUGCGGGACGCCGCCGCCGCGGGUCUCGCCUCUUCACUCUCACACCUGCUGGUCCUCGGGCUGUAUCUUGGGCCUCAGCCGGACUCACAGCCCGCGCUGCUGCCGCAGCUGGCAGCAAACGCGGUGUUGUUCCUGUGCGGGAACGUGGCCGGAGCAUACCACAAGGCGCUGAUGGAGCGCGCGCUGCGCGCCACGUUCCGGGAGGCGCUUAGUUCCCUGCACUCCCGCCGGAGACUCGACACCGAGAAGAAGCACCAGGAACACCUUCUCUUGUCCAUCCUUCCUGCCUACCUGGCCCGAGAGAUGAAGGCGGAGAUCAUGGCACGGCUGCAGGCUGGACAGGGGUCACGGCCGGAGAGCACCAACAACUUCCACAGCCUCUAUGUCAAGAGGCACCAGGGAGUGAGCGUGCUGUAUGCUGACAUCGUGGGCUUCACGCGGCUGGCCAGUGAGUGCUCUCCUAAGGACUUGGUGCUUAUGCUUAACGAGCUCUUUGGCAAGUUCGACCAGAUCGCCAAGGAGCAUGAAUGCAUGCGGAUCAAGAUCCUGGGAGACUGUUACUACUGUGUCUCCGGGCUGCCGCUCUCGCUGCCAGACCACGCCAUCAACUGCGUGCGCAUGGGGCUGGACAUGUGCCGGGCCAUCAGGAAACUUCGGGCAGCCACCGGCGUGGAUAUCAACAUGCGCGUGGGUGUGCACUCGGGCAGCGUGCUCUGCGGGGUCAUCGGGCUGCAGAAAUGGCAGUAUGAUGUCUGGUCGCAUGACGUCACUCUGGCCAACCACAUGGAGGCGAGUGGAGUGCCAGGACGAGUACAUAUCACAGGGGCUACGUUGGCACUGCUGGCAGGGGCUUAUGCUGUGGAGGAUGCAGCCAUGGAACACGGGGACCCAUACCUUCGGGAGCUAGGGGAGCCGACCUACCUUGUCAUCGAUCCCCGGGCUGAGGAAGAGGACGAGAAGGGCACUGCAGGCGGGUUGCUGUCCUCUCUUGAGGGCCCCAAGAUGCGUCCGUCACUGCUGAUGACCCGCUACCUGGAGUCCUGGGGUGCAGCCAAGCCUUUCGCCCACCUGAGCCAUGUGGAGAGCCCUGUGUCCACCUCCACCCCUCUCCCAGAGAAGGCCCUGUCUUCCUUCAGCCCCCAGUGGAGCCUGGACCGGAGCCGUACCCCCCGGGGGCUAGAUGAUGAACUGGACACCGGGGAUGCCAAGUUCUUCCAAGUCAUCGAACAGCUCAACUCUCAGAAACAGUGGAAACAGUCAGAGGACUUCAACCCAUUGACACUGUACUUCAGAGAGAAGGAGAUGGAGAAAGAGUAUCGGCUCUCUGCACUCCCCGCCUUCAAAUACUAUGUAGCCUGCACCUUCCUGGUUUUUUUCUCCAACUUCAUCAUCCAGAUGCUGGUGACAAACAGGCCCCCAGCUCUGACCAUCACCUAUAGCAUCACCUUCCUCCUCUUCUUCCUCCUCCUCUUCGUCUGCUUCUCAGAGCACCUGACGAAAUGUGUCUUGAAAGGCCCCAAGAUGCUGCACUGGCUGCCCACACUGUCUGUCCUAGUGGCCACGCGGCCCGGACUGCGAGUUGCCCUGGGCACCGCUACCAUCCUGCUCGUCUUCUCCAUGGCCAUUACCAGCCUGGUCUUCUUCCCGGCAGCAUCCAGCUGCCCUUUCCGGGCUCCCAAUGUGUCCUCCACGGCUUCCAACCUCUCCUGGGAGCUCCCUGGGUCCCUGCCUCUCAUCAGCGUCCCAUACUCCGUGCACUGCUGCGCGCUGGGCUCCCUCUCCUGCUCCCUCUUCCUGCACCUGAGCUUCGAGCUGAAGCUGCUGCUGCUCGUGCUGUGGCUGGCGGCCUCCUGCUCCCUCUUCCUGCGCUCCCACGCCUGGCUGUCCGACUGUCUCAUCGCCCGCCUCUAUCUGGGCGCCUCGGACUCCAGGCCAGGGGUGCUGAAGGAGCCUAAACUGAUGGGAGCAAUCUCCUUCUUCAUCUUCUUCUUCACCCUCCUGGUCCUGGCUCGGCAGAAUGAGUAUUACUGCCGCCUGGACUUCCUGUGGAAGAAGAAGCUGAGGCAGGAGCAGGAGGAGACAGAGACGAUGGAAAACCUGACUCGGCUGCUCUUGGAGAAUGUGCUCCCCGCGCACGUAGCCCCCCAGUUCAUCGGCCAGAAUCGGCGCAAUGAGGACCUCUACCACCAGUCCUACGAGUGUGUUUGUGUCCUCUUCGCCUCAGUCCCAGACUUUAAGGAGUUUUACUCUGAAUCCAGCAUCAACCAUGAGGGGCUAGAGUGUCUGCGGCUGCUCAAUGAGAUAAUUGCUGAUUUUGAUGAGCUGCUCUCCAAGCCCAAGUUCAGUGGGGUGGAGAAAAUCAAAACUAUCUGCAGCACCUACAUGGCAGCUACAGGCUUGAACGCCACCUCUGGACAGGACGCUCAGCAGGAUGCUGAGCAAAGCUGCAGCCACCUUGGCACCAUGGUAGAGUUUGCCGUGGCCCUUGGGUCUAAGCUGGACGUCAUCAACAAGCACUCAUUCAACAACUUCCGCUUGCGUGUGGGGUUAAACCACGGACCUGUAGUGGCCGGAGUGAUUGGGGCCCAGAAACCACAAUAUGACAUCUGGGGCAACACGGUGAACGUGGCCAGCCGAAUGGAGAGUACAGGCGUCCUGGGCAAGAUCCAAGUGACCGAAGAGACAGCCUGCGCCCUGCAGUCCUUAGGCUACACCUGCUACAGCCGGGGCAUCAUCAAGGUCAAAGGCAAAGGGCAGCUCUGCACCUACUUCCUGAACACAGAUUUGACACGAACUGGACCUCCCUCAGCCACCCUAGGCUGAGAACCCCACCCCCUCCUCCCACCUAUAAGAUCCUCAAUAAAGAUACUCUGGCUCAGCAAGAUGACUGCCUCAGCCUUCCUGCCUGCCUGCCAACGUGAUUCCAGUGUUUUGUACCCUUGGAAGCGAAAGGAUUUU